AGUCGAACGGAUCAGGCAGCAAUGUCUGGUUAGUGGCGAACGGUCGCGUAACACGUAAGCAACCUGCCUCAAAGUGGGGGACAACAGCCCGAAAGGGCUGCUAAUACCGCAUGUGGUCACGACCUGGCAUCAGGUUUUGACUAAAGCCUUCGCAAGGGGGCGCUUUGGGAUGGGCUUGCGGCCUAUCAGGUAGUUGGUGGGGUAACGGCCUACCAAGCCGACGACGGGUAGCUGGUCUGAGAGGACGAUCAGCCGGAUUGGGACUGAGAUACGGCCCAGACUCCUACGGGGGGCAGCAAUUAGGAAUCUUGCGCAAUGGGGGAAACCCUGACGCAGCGACGCCGCGUGCGGGACGAAGGCCUUCGGGUCGUAAACCGCUUUUGACAGGGAAGAAGAAUGUGACGGUACCUGUCGAAUAAGCCCCGGCUAACUACGUGCCAGCAGCCGCGGUAAUACGUAGGGGGCGAGCGUUGUCCGAAGUUACUGGGCGUAAAGCGCGCGUAGGCGGCCAUCUAAGUUCGGGGUGAAAGGUUCAACGCUCAACGUGAACAGUGCCCUGAAUACUGGUUGGCUUGAGUUCGGGAGGGGGCAGUGGAAUUCCGGGUGUAGCGGUGAAAUGCGUAGAUUUCCGGAGGAACACCGAUGGCGAAGGCAGCUGCCUGGCCCAAAACUGACGCUGAAGUGCGAAAGCGUGGGGAGCGAACGGGAUUAGAUACCCCGGUAGUCCACGCCGUAAACGAUGAGUGCUA
Molecule: ribosomal RNA, 749 nt
Filed under: uncultured Bacillota bacterium
Lineage: Bacteria; Bacillati; Bacillota
Description: bacterial SSU rRNA
Rfam family: Bacterial small subunit ribosomal RNA
Source: RNAcentral